CAUCCAGAGAACUUAGCAGAGAUGCUUUGGUGCCUUCGGGAACUCUGAGACAGGUGCUGCAUGGCUGUCGUCAGCUCGUGUUGUGAAAUGUUGGGUUAAGUCCCGNAACGAGCGCAACCCUUAUCCUUUGUUGCCAGCGGUUCGGCCGGGAACUCAAAGGAGACUGCCGGUGAUAAACCGGAGGAAGGUGGGGAUGACGUCAAGUCAUCAUGGCCCUUACGGCCAGGGCUACACACGUGCUACAAUGGCGCAUACAAAGAGAAGCGACCUCGCGAGAGCAAGCGGACCUCAUAAAGUGCGUCGUAGUCCGGAUUGGAGUCUGCAACUCGACUCCAUGAAGUCGGAAUCGCUAGUAAUCGUAGAUCAGAAUGCUACGGUGAAUACGUUCCCGGGCCUUGUACACACCGCCCGUCACACCAUGGGAGUGGGUUGCAAAAGAAGUAGGUAGCUUAACCUUCGGGAGGGCGCUUACCACUUUGUGAUUCAUGACUGGGGUGAAGUCGUAACAAGGUAAGCGUAGCGAG
Molecule: ribosomal RNA, 524 nt
Filed under: uncultured bacterium
Lineage: Bacteria
Description: bacterial SSU rRNA
Rfam family: Bacterial small subunit ribosomal RNA
Source: RNAcentral